AGGCGAGCGGAUCCACUUGCAAGGCUUUAUUCAAUGACAUGGUCAAUACCGGCAAAAGUCAAACAAUGGCAAACAGAUAUAUCAAGAGUGAGACUGAAGAGUGAUCAAUGAAACAGGCGUGGGUCAAACGAUGGUAACCGUAAUCCAGAGGGCGAGGCAAAUGGUAAAUCCAAUAAUAGGCGAUAAUCCAGGCAUGACGUAAACAGAACCUCCGCGAGGGAACAGAAGACCACCAAGGCAGAGACUGGAACCUGGAGAAAACUGAGACACAGGAGACUCUGGACCUAGGCAGGGAACACAAACAGUUCAUCACUAUACUCCCAGGUGACCACUGAAUGGACAGAUAGUUCACAAACAGGCUCACAGAGAGACACUGAACAACCAGACAGAUCACAAUUAGACUCAUUAACUAGAAUAGGCCAUACAGAUAAUACAGACACAUCAGGGAAAACAGAACAAGCAGAGAGUUCACGAAUUAUAUCUAUGGCAGUGACGGGGUAAAUGGGACAGAUAUCGAGUGCAUUUUCAGUCUCUGGGCUCAUGACAGGCAGGGUUAAGGAUUCAAAAGGGGGGUUUUUGAGCAGUGACAGCCUAGCUAAAAGUUAAUGUUGGUCUCUUUGAGGGUGGCUGGACAGACAGGCAGUUCAACAUUGGUUUCCAUGGCUAAGACUGAUUGAAUUCUGACUGGACAGAUGGACCUUUCAUUAGUGGCCUCUUUGGCAAUGACCGACAAGGCUGACAGUUCAAAGACAGGCCCUUCGGUUGGGUCAGGACAGAACAAUAGUUCAUCAUAGGCCUCCAUGGCCGUUACAGGGCAGGCAGAGAGUUUGCAGACAGCCUCCAUAGCCAUGACAGGACAGGCAGAGAGUUCACAGACAGCCUCCAUAGCCAUGACAGGACAGGCAGAGAGUUCACAUGUGGGUACCACUGACACCUCUGGAGGUUCUACAGUAAUAUCAUCAGCAAACAGGAAGAGCUCAUUACUGGAUGCCACCACCAUGCAGGAAGCUGACGGGAAGCUUAUGGGAAGCGCUACAGAAAGGGGAAUCGGUUCAGGAAAAGGAGGGCUAGAAUGACUGGGUUUGGGGAUACCAGCUGCACCUGUUGACUUCAACGGUGGAUCCUCCAGGCUGGAUGCCAGUCUGUAAAACUGGUGAACUGACCAUGAAGAUCUGGGUGCAACAGACAGGAUGUGAUGUGACUCUGGAUGAUCAGCUGUGACGUGACGUGACUCUGGAUGACCAACGGUGAUGUGACAUGACUCUGGAUGACCAGCUGUGAUGUGACGUGACUCUGGAUGAUCAGCUGUGAUGCGAUGUGACUCUGGAUAUUCCUGUGGCUCAGUGGUAGAGCAAUGAGUUAGCAGUGCAAAAGGUUGUGGGUUUGAUUCCCAGGGAACACGUUAGGUAAAAAAUGUUAGCCUGAAUGCACUUUAAGUCACUUUGGAUAAAAGCAUCUGUUAAAUGCAUAAAUGUUAAUGGAUGAUCAGCUAAAAUGCGACAAGGCUCUGGAUGAUCAGCUGUGAUGCGACGAGGCUCUGGCAGAUCAGCUGUGACUUGACUUGACUCAGGAAGAUCAGCUGUGACUUGACUCAGGAAGAUCAGCUGUGACUUGACUUGACUCAGGAAGAGCAGCUGUGACUAGACUUGACUCAGGAAGAUCAGCUGUGAGUUGACUUAAUUCAGGAAAGACAGUGGUGGCAUGACAUGACUUUGUUGUUGACACCAUUUUGUGAGCAAUCUCUGGUACUCCAGCAAUUACAGGCACAGACACGGUGUUGUGUUACUCCUCAGCGAAACCCACCGUGAACACAGAGCCAGCAGUCAGCAAAGCAUAGUCUAUAAAGUCCUUUAAACUACAAUUAAAUUUACCCUCUGGCAACCAUGAUUUUAUGGAUUCAUUUAGUCCGUAACGAAAAAUUUAUUUUAAUGAGACCUCAUCAAAAGGUACUCUAAAAGAUAACUCACAGAACUGAGUGACGUACUCCUCAAUAGGUGAACUCCCCUGUCGUGAAUAGAGUAGCCGGUCGACAGGGUCCAUACUUGGCCAAGGUCCUUUAGGAAAGCCGCUGGAUCCUUGUGGGGCCGAGUAUUCUGUAACGGGGUGACAGAGACGUGAGGCGAGCGGAUCCACUUGCACUUUAUUCAAUGACAUGGUCAAUACCGGCAAAAGUCAAACAAUGGCAAACAGAUAUAUCAAGGGUGAGACUGAAGAGUGAUCCAUGAAACAGGCGUGGGUCAAAGACGGUAACCGUAAUCCAGAGGGCGAGGCAAACGGUAAAUCCAAUAACAGGCGAUAAUCCAAGCAUGGCGUAAACGGAGUCCGAAUGGUAAGAUGAAAGGGGUAUACAAAAUAAACAGACAAGAAUCAAAACACGAGUAAACAAACAAGACAAGAUAAUGACUAGGAACUGAAAACUAGACAGGCUCCGUAGAGUAGCUAUCGCUUGGAGGAAGAUAAAUGCAUACAAUACUUAGUGACUACAGCAGGAUCAGAGUGUUAUAUAGUGUGUUAUUGGAUGCAGGUGAGUGCGCAAUCAGUGCAGUGGAGCAUGGGAGAUGUAGUCCAGAGUGAUGCGUGACAGUCUGUGUGGUGUGAGUGUCAAUAUGGUGACAGAGCGACCUCUUGUGAUAAUCAGAUGAAAGUCCAUGG
Cyprinus carpio carpio is the source of this 2652-nucleotide long non-coding RNA. Lineage: Eukaryota; Metazoa; Chordata; Actinopteri; Cypriniformes; Cyprinidae. The record is from Ensembl.